ACGAGCCUUUCAGAUCAGCGCGAACACGUGAAUCGAGCAUGGGGGGGCGCGCGCGUACGCGCUGGUUCGUCGCGUCGGCGAGCCGGACGUGGUGGCGGCGCCCCGGCGCGUGGGGCGAACGGCAUGACGCGGGGACACCUCGAACGCCGCCGAAAACGAACCCCCAGAGGCGCGGAUCGUGCGCCAAGGAACGGAAAAAGGAGUCGGGACAUGGCCCCCCCCCGCACGCGUGCGCGGGGGCGUGUACCGAUGGUGCGCGAUGAGCCGCCGAAACGAAC
This 278-nucleotide unclassified non-coding RNA is filed under the name Utricularia alpina. RNAcentral's name for it is "ITS1". The record is from RNAcentral. Lineage: Eukaryota; Viridiplantae; Streptophyta; Magnoliopsida; Lamiales; Lentibulariaceae.